RNA transcript from Prunus avium (sweet cherry), 1967 nucleotides. It is a transcript of the gene named BTB/POZ/MATH-domains containing protein, with no coding region annotated. The record is from RefSeq and is a predicted model, not a curated record. NCBI's taxonomy places the organism in Eukaryota, Viridiplantae, Streptophyta, Magnoliopsida, Rosales, Rosaceae.
CCCAACCCACUUGUCCAAAGCGAAAGGACCCGCCUAACUCUUAACGAGUCCUAACCCCAAAAAAAACACCACAAACCCUCUCCGGCCUCCCCUCACAGUCUUCUCGAAUCUUUAUCUCUCCGGCAAAAGUAUCAUCUUCCCUUACAAUUCACCACUCAAAACCCAAAAUUAGGGUUUUAAUUCGUCCAUUUCUCCUACCAAUCUACACAAUUUGCAUGCCAUGCCGCGGCCACGCCUUGACCGCUUGGCUUUUUAGGGUUCCGCUUGAACUGGCCGAUGCCGAAUCACAAAUCGUCCAGAGGGGCUCAAUUGGGUGAAGCCAUGUCGAAUUCGAAGCCUGGGGUCGACCAGGAGUCGUGUUCGAGAUCGAUCAGCGAGACUGUCAAUGGGUCUCACCGGUUCACGAUAAAGGGGUAUUCUUUGGCCAAAGGGAUGGGUGCCGGAAAGUACAUAAUGAGCGACACGUUUACGGUGGGUGGCUACGAUUGGGCAAUUUACUUCUACCCCGACGGCAAAAACCCUGAGGAUAGUUCCACGUACGUCUCCGUUUUCAUUGCUUUGGUCAGUGAGGGUACGGAUGUGAGGGCUUUGUUCGAGCUGACUUUGGUGGACCAGACCAAGAGUGGGAAGGACAAGGUGCAUAGUCACUUUGAUCGCGCGCUCGAGAGCGGGCCGUACACGUUGAAGUACAGAGGCAGCAUGUGGGGUUACAAGAGAUUUUUCAAAAGAUCAGCCCUCGAAACUUCUGAGUUUCUAAGGGAUGAUUGCCUUGUAUUGAACUGCACUGUUGGAGUUGUCAGAACUCGCCUUGAGCGACCAAAACAAUUUUCAAUUACUGUACCAUCAUCAGACAUGGGUCGAGAUCUUAAGGACUUUCUAGACUCUGAAGCUGGUUGUGACAUAGUUUUUCAGGUUGGCGAUGAACUGUUUAAAGCUCACAAGUUGAUACUUGCUGCCCGUUCUCCUGUAUUUAGAGCACAGUUUUUUGGACUUGUCGGGGAUUGUAGCAUAGAUAAAGUAGUUGUGAAGGAUGUUGAGCCCUUUAUCUUCAAGGCAAUGCUUCUGUUUAUUUACACGGACAAACUUCCUAAUGUACACGAAGUUAUGGGCUCAUCACCAUUGUGCACAUUCACUGUCAUGGUGCAGCAUCUUUUGGCUGCUGCGGACCUGUAUAAUCUAGAACGACUGAAAGUAUUGUGUGAAUCAAAGUUAUGUGAAGAAAUCACUACUGAAACAGUUGCGACCACACUUGCUCUUGCUGAACAACAUCACUGUCCGCAGCUCAAGGCUGUGUGCUUAAAAUUUGCAGCAAAUCCUGCAAACUUAGGAGGAAGUCAAUAAGGAUGUUCCUUAAAAUUUAUGAUAUUACAUCUGGGUCAGCCUAUGGUGACACCUUGAUAUCUGGCUGAUCGAGGGGCAGCAUUUUGAGAAUGCUGUGAUGCAAUCAGAUGGGUACAAGCAUCUAGAAGAGAGCUGCCCCUCAAUGUUGCUGGAGUUGCUAGAGACAUUUGCAGCAGUGGAUGAGAGUUCAAGUCUUCUGUCAAGUAGGAAGAGGAGUGGCAGCAGCAUAUAUGGGCUAGACUUGCCAGCAGAUGGUGGCGGGGCUGUAGCAGAAUCAGCAAAUCCCAAUGGAAGGCGUGUGAGGCGGCGGUAUUAGUGUAUGUAGUUAACUUUAGGCGCCACAAACCUGAAAGGAGUGGUCUUAGGAACAAAACGGUAGCUAUGAAUGGCAUGCGGAUAAUAGUCACUUAUCAUUUCCCAUUGUGUUGGACACUCCUUGUAUAAAGUUUCGAUGUCAUUUCCUUUGUUAUAUCAGGUUUGGUGGGGGGGCUCUUUUGGAAGUGAACUGAGAUUUGAAUGUGUUACAUUGUGCUUCAUGUAGAAUUUGUAGGUAGACUGUCAUUUUGAAUGGAAUUAUAUUAUUACAGAAAUGGCUCUAAAUAUCUUGGGUCUGAGUGUUGAAGUUA